CAUUCCAAGAAUAACCAGCUAUGAGGGGUCUUCACUGUGGAGGAUGAAGCACCUGAGUGAGAAUAUCAGUAAAUGUGUCCAAGGUUAUACGACAGAGAUGAUGCACACCGAAUGAUGCACACAGUACUGGAAGUGGGAGUCAAAUCCAAGUUAUCUUGGGAAGCAGCUCGGAGCCCAGAGGACCUCUCCACUAUGAUGCUGCCAAAGUUUUUCACUCAUUCAUUCACUGAAUAUUUGUGGGGUCCCUAUUAUGUGGCAGUCAGCUAUGUGGGAUAGGGACACAGCCAUAAAUAAAGCAAAAGGUCUUGCCUCUGCAGAAAUUACUACCUUAAUAUGGAGAAGAGAGAAAAAUGAAUCAAGAAAUAAACCUAUAUCCAUAUGGUACCAGAGUGAUAAGUGCUAUAGAUGAAUAUAUGUAGAGUAUGGUGAUAGAGGGGUGGAAGGUGCCAUUCUGAUUGGAAGGUUAACAAUGCCAUCUCUGAGGUGGUGACAUUUAAGCAAAGAUCUGAAGGAAGGACUGAAGCCAAGCAAAAUCCUAUCUGAAAGAAGAGUGUGGCAGGAAAAGGGAAAGUGAGUUCAAAGGUCCUAGGAUGGUAACAGGCUUGGGGGUGUGUUUGACUUGGCCUCAGAGCCAGAGAUGUCCAACUCCUUGUCCUUGUGCCUUGUUCUUGCUGAUCACUCUCCUCUUGCAGCUCCCUCCUCCUCUCAAGCCUCUGUGCCCAACCCCCAUCGGUCUAGCCAACUCCUGCCUCUACAAUCAAAUUCAAACCUCACUUCUUAUAGCUUGCCCUUACCUCCCUCAUCUAUGUUCCCACAAUGUUCAUAUUUCUAUAACA
Long non-coding RNA from Talpa occidentalis (Iberian mole), 836 nucleotides. RefSeq lists it as uncharacterized. The record is from RefSeq and is a predicted model, not a curated record. The transcript has 3 exons. Lineage: Eukaryota; Metazoa; Chordata; Mammalia; Eulipotyphla; Talpidae.